UUUAGAUGAUUAUGUAUGGAAAUAUAACCUUGAUCAUCUGACUGUUAAUCAGAGGGUCGCUGGUUCGAGCCCAGCAGAGGGA
This 82-nucleotide transfer RNA is filed under the name Pedobacter cryoconitis. RNAcentral describes it as "tRNA-Asn". The record is from RNAcentral. Lineage: Bacteria; Pseudomonadati; Bacteroidota; Sphingobacteriia; Sphingobacteriales; Sphingobacteriaceae.